Unclassified non-coding RNA from Cavia aperea (Brazilian guinea pig), 97 nucleotides. It matches the Rfam family "Y RNA". Rfam says of the family: Y RNAs are components of the Ro ribonucleoprotein particle (Ro RNP), in association with Ro60 and La proteins. The Y RNAs and Ro60 and La proteins are well conserved, but the function of the Ro RNP is not known. Lineage: Eukaryota; Metazoa; Chordata; Mammalia; Rodentia; Caviidae. The record is from Ensembl.
GGCUGGUCCGAUGGCAGCGGGUUAGCAGAACUUAUUAACAUUAGUGUCACUAAAGUUAGUAUACCACCUCCCCACUGCUAAAUUUGACUGGCUUUAA